This 406-nucleotide ribosomal RNA is filed under the name uncultured bacterium. Its description in RNAcentral is "bacterial SSU rRNA". It matches the Rfam family "Bacterial small subunit ribosomal RNA", at positions 28 to 416 of the family's 1533-position model. The record is from RNAcentral.
AGCGAACGUCAGCGGCGGGCCUAACACAUGCAAGUCGAACGAGAAUGAGGGGGCAACUCCUCUAGUAAAGUGGCGGACGGGUGCGUAACACGUGGGUAAUCUACCGACCGGCGAGGGACAACCGUCCGAAAGGAUGGCUAAUACCGCGUACGCCGGCGGGGACUCCGGUUCCUGUCGGGAAAGGUGGCCUCUCCUUGGAAGCUGCCCCCGGUCGAUGAACCCGCGGCCCAUCAGCUUGUUGGUGAGGUAACGGCNCACCAAGGCUAAGACGGGUAGCUGGUCUGAGAGGAUGAUCAGCCACACUGGGACUGCGACACGGCCCAGACUCCUACGGGAGGCAGCAGUGGGGAAUAUUGGGCAAUGGGCGAAAGCCUGACCCAGCCACGCCGCGUGAGUGAUGAAGGCC